This 468-nucleotide ribosomal RNA is filed under the name uncultured bacterium. RNAcentral's name for it is "partial 16S ribosomal RNA". It matches the Rfam family "Bacterial small subunit ribosomal RNA", at positions 28 to 507 of the family's 1533-position model. The record is from RNAcentral.
GACGAACGCUGGCGGCGUACUUAACACAUGCAAGUCGAACGGAAAGGCCCUGCUUUUGUGGGGUGCUCGAGUGGCGAACGGGUGAGUAACACGUGAGUAACCUGCCCUUGACUUUGGGAUAACUUCAGGAAACUGGGGCUAAUACCGGAUAGGAGCUCCUGCUGCAUGGUGGGGGUUGGAAAGUUUCGGCGGUUGGGGAUGGACUCGCGGCUUAUCAGCUUGUUGGUGGGGUAGUGGCUUACCAAGGCUUUGACGGGUAGCCGGCCUGAGAGGGUGAUCGGCCACAUUGGGACUGAGAUACGGCCCAGACUCCUACGGGAGGCAGCAGUGGGGAAUAUUGCACAAUGGGCGGAAGCCUGAUGCAGCAACGCCGCGUGCGGGAUGACGGCCUUCGGGUUGUAAACCGCUUUCGCCUGUGACGAAGCGUGAGUGACGGUAAUGGGUAAAGAAGCACCGGCUAACUACGUG